Molecule: ribosomal RNA, 373 nt
Filed under: uncultured organism
Description: partial 16S ribosomal RNA
Rfam family: Bacterial small subunit ribosomal RNA
Source: RNAcentral
GUAGGUGGCAAGCGUUGUCCGGAAUUAUUGGGCGUAAAGCGCGCGCAGGCGGUUCUUUAAGUCUGAUGUGAAAGCCCACGGCUCAACCGUGGAGGGUCAUUGGAAACUGGAGAACUUGAGUACAGAAGAGGAAAGCGGAAUUCCACGUGUAGCGGUGAAAUGCGUAGAGAUGUGGAGGAACACCAGUGGCGAAGGCGGCUUUCUGGUCUGUAACUGACGCUGAGGCGCGAAAGCGUGGGGAGCAAACAGGAUUAGAUACCCUGGUAGUCCACGCCGUAAACGAUGAGUGCUAAGUGUUAGGGGGUUUCCGCCCCCCUUGGUGCUGCAGCUAACGCAUUAAGCACUCCGCCCUGGGAGUACGGCCGCAAGGCUG